GCUCAGAUUGAACGCUGGCGGCGUGCUUAACACAUGCAAGUCGAGCGAGAAAGCUCUCUUCGGAGAGUGAGUAGAGCGGCGCACGGGUGAGUAGCGCGUGGAUAAUCUGCCCUGAAGAUCGGGAUAACAGUUGGAAACGACUGCUAAUACCGGAUACCCUGCAUAUUUAACUUUAUGUGGUAAAGGUGGCCUCUAUUUAUAAGCUACCGCUUUGGGAUGAGUCCGCGUCUCAUUAGCUUGUUGGUGGGGUAAUGGCCUACCAAGGCAACGAUGAGUAGCUGGUCUGAGAGGAUGAUCAGCCACACUGGGACUGAAACACGGCCCAGACUCCUACGGGAGGCAGCAGUGGGGAAUAUUGCGCAAUGGGGGAAACCCUGACGCAGCGACGCCGCGUGCGGGAAGAAGGCCUUCGGGUCGUAAACCGCUGUCAGGAGGGAAGAAACUGUUGGGGUAUAAUACGCCCUUUCACUGACGGUACCUCCAAAGGAAGCACCGGCUAACUCCGUGCCAGCAGCCGCGGUAAUACGGAGGGUGCGAGCGUUAAUCGGAAUCACUGGGCGUAAAGCGCACGUAGGCGGCGCAUCAAGUCAGACGUGAAAGCCCUCGGCUCAACCGAGGAAUUGCGUUUGAAACUGGUGUGCUGGAGUCUCGGAGAGGUUGGCGGAAUUCCAGGUGUAGGAGUGAAAUCCGUAGAUAUCUGGAGGAACACCGGUGGCGAAGGCGGCCAACUGGACGAGUACUGACGCUGAGGUGCGAAAGCGUGGGGAGCAAACAGGAUUAGAUACCCUGGUAGUCCACGCUGUAAACGAUGGAUAUUAGGUGUCGGGGGUUACCUUCGGUGCCGCAGU
This 848-nucleotide ribosomal RNA is filed under the name Desulfovibrio sp. C1B.2.221. Its description in RNAcentral is "bacterial SSU rRNA". It matches the Rfam family "Bacterial small subunit ribosomal RNA", at positions 22 to 852 of the family's 1533-position model. Lineage: Bacteria; Pseudomonadati; Thermodesulfobacteriota; Desulfovibrionia; Desulfovibrionales; Desulfovibrionaceae. The record is from RNAcentral.